This 230-nucleotide ribosomal RNA is filed under the name uncultured bacterium. RNAcentral's name for it is "partial 16S ribosomal RNA". It matches the Rfam family "Bacterial small subunit ribosomal RNA", at positions 562 to 791 of the family's 1533-position model. The record is from RNAcentral.
AAAGCGUCUGUAGGUGGUUUAGUAAGUCUGCUGUUAAAGAUUAGGGCUUAACCCUAGGAAAGCAGUGGAAACUACUAGACUUGAGUGUGGUAGAGGUAGAGGGAAUUCCUAGUGUAGCGGUGAAAUGCGUAGAUAUUAGGAAGAACACCAAUGGCGAAAGCACUCUACUGGGCCAUAACUGACACUAAGAGACGACAGCUAGGGGAGCAAAUGGGAUUAGAUACCCCUGU